Molecule: small nuclear RNA, 106 nt
Organism: Ictidomys tridecemlineatus (thirteen-lined ground squirrel)
Lineage: Eukaryota; Metazoa; Chordata; Mammalia; Rodentia; Sciuridae
Source: Ensembl
GUGAUCACUUUGGCAGCACAUAUACUAAAUUGGAAUGAUACAGAGAAGAUUAGCAUGUUCCCUGUGCAAGGAUGACACACAAAUUUGUGAUAAGUUCCAUAUUUUU